This 139-nucleotide ribosomal RNA is filed under the name Bacillus sp. SJS. RNAcentral describes it as "partial 16S ribosomal RNA". It matches the Rfam family "Bacterial small subunit ribosomal RNA", at positions 1 to 147 of the family's 1533-position model. The record is from RNAcentral. Lineage: Bacteria; Bacillati; Bacillota; Bacilli; Caryophanales; Bacillaceae.
CUUUUUGGAGAGUUUGAUCCUGGCUCAGGACGAACGCUGGCGGCGUGCCUAAUACAUGCAAGUCGAGCGGACCUCUUCGGAGGUCAGCGGCGGACGGGUGAGUAACACGUGGGCAACCUGCCUGUAAGACUGGGAUAAC